CAGCAGCCGCGGGAAUACGUAGGGUGCAAGCGUUAUCCGGAAUUAUUGGGCGUAAAGAGCUCGUAGGCGGUUUGUCGCGUCUGCUGUGAAAACUGGAGGCUCAACCUCCAGCCUGCAGUGGGUACGGGCAGACUAGAGUGCGGUAGGGGAGAUUGGAAUUCCUGGUGUAGCGGUGGAAUGCGCAGAUAUCAGGAGGAACACCGAUGGCGAAGGCAGAUCUCUGGGCCGUAACUGACGCUGAGGAGCGAAAGCGUGGGGAGCGAACAGGAUUAGAUACCCCGGUAGUCCCUGUCUCUUAUAC
Molecule: ribosomal RNA, 301 nt
Filed under: uncultured bacterium
Lineage: Bacteria
Description: partial 16S ribosomal RNA
Rfam family: Bacterial small subunit ribosomal RNA
Source: RNAcentral